GUCUAUGGCCAUGCUACCCUGAACGUGCCCGAUCUCGUCUGAUCUCAGAAGCUAAGCAGGGUCAGGCCUGGAUAGUACCUGGAUAGGAGACCACCUAGGAAUACCAGCUGCUGUAGGCA
RNAcentral lists this ribosomal RNA (119 nucleotides) under Pteropus alecto (black flying fox). Lineage: Eukaryota; Metazoa; Chordata; Mammalia; Chiroptera; Pteropodidae. The record is from RNAcentral.